Molecule: ribosomal RNA, 253 nt
Filed under: uncultured bacterium
Lineage: Bacteria
Description: partial 16S ribosomal RNA
Rfam family: Bacterial small subunit ribosomal RNA
Source: RNAcentral
UACGUAGGGUGCAAGCGUUAUCCGGAAUUAUUGGGCGUAAAGGGCUCGUAGGCGGUUCGUCGCGUCCGGUGUGAAAGCCCAUCGCUUAACGGUGGGUCUGCGCCGGGUACGGGCGGGCUGGAGUGCGGUAGGGGAGACUGGAAUUCCCGGUGUAACGGUGGAAUGUGUAGAUAUCGGGAAGAACACCAAUGGCGAAGGCAGGUCUCUGGGCCGUCACUGACGCUGAGGAGCGAAAGCGUGGGGAGCGAACAGG